CUCUAUGAAAAACCCUACAUACUGUAUCAUAUAUUAAAUAUGUAUUUGCAAUCUCAACUGGUCUCAGAAGCUAAGCAGGGUUGGGCCUGGUUAGUACUUGGAUGGGAGACCACUUAGGAAGACCAGGUGCCGUAGGCA
This is a ribosomal RNA of Pteropus vampyrus (large flying fox), 138 nucleotides long. The record is from Ensembl. NCBI's taxonomy places the organism in Eukaryota, Metazoa, Chordata, Mammalia, Chiroptera, Pteropodidae.